CCUUAAACAUAACCGAUAGAAUUAUGGUAAACUCCAAUAUUUGGGUGGGCAAUGGCACAUUAUUCAUUCAUUGGUAUAUGAUAAUAUCUUGAAUACCUUAAACAUAACCGAUAGAAUUAUGGUAAACUCCAAUAUUUGGGUGGGCAAUGGCACAUUAUUCAUUCAUUGGUAUAUGAUAAUAUCUUGAAUACCUUAAACAUAACCGAUAGAAUUAU
RNAcentral lists this long non-coding RNA (215 nucleotides) under Physcomitrium patens. Its description in RNAcentral is "long non-coding RNA (PPAT_LNC011241)". The record is from RNAcentral. Lineage: Eukaryota; Viridiplantae; Streptophyta; Bryopsida; Funariales; Funariaceae.